AAUUUUUAAAAAAGGAACGAUGCAGAGAAGAUUAGCAUGGCCCCUGCGCAAGGAUGACAUGCAAAUGUGUGAAGUGUUCCAUAUUUUU
RNAcentral lists this small nuclear RNA (88 nucleotides) under Jaculus jaculus (lesser Egyptian jerboa). Lineage: Eukaryota; Metazoa; Chordata; Mammalia; Rodentia; Dipodidae. The record is from RNAcentral.